AAGUCGUAACAAGGUUUCCGUAGGUGAACCUGCGGAAGGAUCAUUAACGUACAACAAGCCUAUGAUGCCGGGGUUCUACAAAAACCCCUUCACGCGCACAUGGACUGAAUCCUUAUUCUACUCGUACCUCUCGUUCUCCUUCGGUGGGGCAACCUGCCGUCGGAACCUAUACAAACCCUUUUUUUGCAUCUAGCAUUUACCUGUUCUGAUACAAACAAUCGUUACAACUUUCAACAAUGGAUCUCUUGGCUCUG
RNAcentral lists this unclassified non-coding RNA (254 nucleotides) under fungal sp. Its description in RNAcentral is "partial internal transcribed spacer region". The stretch from base 1 to 46 matches the Rfam family "Eukaryotic small subunit ribosomal RNA", at positions 1786 to 1831 of the family's 1831-position model. RNAcentral also lists the same sequence under 1 other name. Lineage: Eukaryota; Fungi. The record is from RNAcentral.